This 429-nucleotide ribosomal RNA is filed under the name Bacteroidota bacterium. RNAcentral describes it as "Bacteroidetes bacterium partial 16S ribosomal RNA". It matches the Rfam family "Bacterial small subunit ribosomal RNA", at positions 355 to 776 of the family's 1533-position model. Lineage: Bacteria; Pseudomonadati; Bacteroidota. The record is from RNAcentral.
UAGGGAAUCUUCCGCAAUGGACGCAAGUCUGACGGAGCAACGCCGCGUGAGUGAAGAAGGAUUUCGGUUCGUAAAACUCUGUUGUUAGAGAAGAACAGCGCAUAGAGUAACUGUUAUGCGUGUGACGGUAUCUAACCAGAAAGCCACGGCUAACUACGUGCCAGCAGCCGCGGUAAUACGUAGGUGGCAAGCGUUGUCCGGAUUUAUUGGGCGUAAAGCGAGCGCAGGCGGUCAAUUAAGUCUGAUGUGAAAGCCCCCGGCUCAACCGGGGAGGGUCAUUGGAAACUGGUUGACUUGAGUGCAGAAGAGGAGAGUGGAAUUCCAGGGGUAGCGGUGAAAUGCGUAGAUAUAUGGAGGAACACAAGUGGCGAGGGCGACUCUCUGGUCUGUAACUGACGCUGAGGCUCGAAAGCGUGGGUAGCAAACAGG